CAGGCAGUGAGCGGGGUGGACGGCUGCCGCCCUGCUACCCGGCCUCUGAUCCACGCAAAGCCGGCCCUGUUACCCUCCCUGUGGGCCAGUGUGGGGCCCAACUGUCGGUUGUUUCGGUCUAAGAACUCGCCUACCUUCUAAGAUGGUGCUCCGUGGAGAGGAAGAUUCCCCCCUGGGCUCUUGGCGCCUUUGGCGCGCAAAUCUGUGCACCGCACCUGAAACUCAUGCGGCUCCAGAUGUCCAUUCUGGGUGCCAACAAUUGACACCGAGGCCCCACAGUGGAGUACACAUCAUCGUUCCUGGUGGACCGCCUGAGACGCAGACCGAUCUCUCUACCCUCGCUACAUCUAGCUACUCCAACUCUGUUACCACCACACUGCCGAUCCUCAACAACCC
Molecule: non-coding RNA, 396 nt
Organism: Pelobates cultripes (western spadefoot toad)
Lineage: Eukaryota; Metazoa; Chordata; Amphibia; Anura; Pelobatidae
Source: the annotation of a GenBank genome assembly